Hyaena hyaena (striped hyena) is the source of this 689-nucleotide long non-coding RNA. RefSeq lists it as uncharacterized. The record is from RefSeq and is a predicted model, not a curated record. NCBI's taxonomy places the organism in Eukaryota, Metazoa, Chordata, Mammalia, Carnivora, Hyaenidae. The transcript is spliced from 2 exons.
CAACUGGGAGCACACAUGAAAAUUGAGGAAUGGCUCCCAUUUGGCCACAUGGAGAACACCGCUGACUGCAACCAAGGCUGUUUGAACGUAAUGGCAAGGUUCAGGAUUGAAUGGAAGACAAAACGCUGACCUCAUUCCACUCGACCCAGCUUUGGAACCCAGAGGCUAUAAAGGGAGAGGUUUGUUCACCUUAAUAAAAUUCUCAUCUGUGCUUACUGCUGAUGUAAUGUGAAAAAGACAGAUUCUUCAACUUAACAAGAAGGAUAAACUGUUCCUUCUGCUGGUCUUAAAAGUAGUAAGUAGGGCUCAUGGAAUAUGGGCGAACAAAUGAGGACACAGUGGGCAGAUCCACUAUCAGGCCCUUGAAAUUAACCCCAAAGCAGUGGCGGAAGAGGAAUAGAUGCGGAUCUGGUACAGCAUCAUGCCAAGGCCAUUACAUUCUUGGCCCUUAGAAAAAGCAAGAAAACAGGUAAACGCUCUGCUUUUAAGCCAAGCUUGGUAAUCCCGGCGAACUUCGAGAGCCAAAAGCAAAUAGCUUUGAAACAACAUUGAAGCUAUUUGCUUCCCCAUCGAGGUCCUGAUCAUCCAUGUGGCUGCAGGUUACAGAUUCACAUCAGCCUUCAUAUGUCAUUGCUGAAACCUCCUUGUAAACAAUGGCAUAGUCCUCAAUUAAUGCAAAUUAAAUCACA